AUGAACGCUGGCGGCGUGCCUAAUACAUGCAAGUCGAGCGAACAGAUGAGGAGCUUGCUCCUCUGACGUUAGCGGCGGACGGGUGAGUAACACGUGGAUAACCUACCUAUAAGACUGGGAUAACUUCGGGAAACCGGAGCUAAUACCGGAUAAUAUAUUGAACCGCAUGGUUCAAUAGUGAAAGACGGUUUUGCUGUCACUUAUAGAUGGAUCCGCGCCGCAUUAGCUAGUUGGUAAGGUAACGGCUUACCAAGGCGACGAUGCGUAGCCGACCUGAGAGGGUGAUCGGCCACACUGGAACUGAGACACGGUCCAGACUCCUACGGGAGGCAGCAGUAGGGAAUCUUCCGCAAUGGGCGAAAGCCUGACGGAGCAACGCCGCGUGAGUGAUGAAGGUCUUCGGAUCGUAAAACUCUGUUAUUAGGGAAGAACAAAUGUGUAAGUAACUGUGCACGUCUUGACGGUACCUAAUCAGAAAGCCACGGCUAACUACGUG
This 496-nucleotide ribosomal RNA is filed under the name uncultured bacterium. RNAcentral describes it as "partial 16S ribosomal RNA". It matches the Rfam family "Bacterial small subunit ribosomal RNA", at positions 29 to 507 of the family's 1533-position model. The record is from RNAcentral.